This 42982-nucleotide long non-coding RNA is filed under the name Brassica napus (rape). Its description in RNAcentral is "long non-coding RNA (BNAP_LNC010462)". The stretch from base 23486 to 23575 matches the Rfam family "tRNA". Lineage: Eukaryota; Viridiplantae; Streptophyta; Magnoliopsida; Brassicales; Brassicaceae. The record is from RNAcentral.
AAAAAAAGCUGAUCAAAAUAUUUAUUAAAAAAUAGUUGACAGGUGAAUCAAUGUAUAUACAUUAUCAAGGGUUGAUUCUUACAUAUUCCGUCGAAUGAAUCAUAAUACCAAUAUCACAUUAAUACACAAUUAGUUGAGAAACAUACAAAACACACACACAUAGUAUAUAGUAUAUAUGAACAUAAAAAGAGAUCAUGAUGAGACGUCCCCUUAUUAUAAAGGUGUACCAAACCAAUGAUACUUGAAUUUCCAAGGCGUUGCACCAUCGAUAGAUUCAUAAAUACCAUCUCCCCUUAUAGACCAUCUUAUCCAAUUGCUUCUGUUUUUAUAUUGCUUACCUUCGUACGCGACGAAAGACGCAUUGCGACUGAAAUUAGGACCUGACCAGACGUUGCACCAAUAAAGCGUUUUAUCAAGUAUAUGAUCUUUGAAAUCAAAACCGUAAAAUCCUCCGAAUUUCCUCACGUGCCAUCCCAAAUCGUUGUCUCCUGAUUUGCAAUGGACUUUCAUUAGGAUUCCAUGGCGCACCUGGUUAUACAGAAAGAUCGACCCUCCACUUGCUUGUUCUGUGUAUACGCUUAAAAGGAUCAGGAUUAUUGUUAGACGAAACAUUUUUUUUUUUUGUUUUUUUGUUUUUGUUUCUUUUAGUAAUUGGAUGUUCUGAUGUGUUUAUAAGCGAUUUGGUCAUUGUUUGAAAGGCUGCCCGUAAAAAUUUGACUUCUCGAAUAGAAGUUGGUUGGUCCACCGUCGGUUUUUAUAUACUGAUUGCAUUUUACCAUUAAUUAAAAAUAAAUAAAGAAAACAAUAUGUUUAGCAGUUCUGUCCCAAAAAAAAAAUUCUUUUGUGAGGUUACGGUCUUAAUUCUUAAACUAGAUUUUGAUCUGCGCAACCGCGCAGAUGUUUGUUUUCACUUUUCUAUACAUAAAUUAUUAUUUUAUAACAUUAAUGGUAUAUAUUUUAACGUUAAUCAUAUACUUAAAUGUUUAUAUAACUAUUUCAAAUACAAUAAUUUUAUAAUUUACAUGUUAUAAUUAAUCAAUUGUUUAAAACCGUAUGUAUUUGUCACUUCUUAUUAUAUGUUUAUCUUAUUAUAUUUGCAUUUAGAUAUUAAGCACAAUUUUAAUAUAUUCAUGAGAAAACAUAUUUCAAAAUUAUUUUGUAUUUAAUUUAUGCUAAAUUCUGACCCGUCUUUCAAAGUUGGAUUUCUUUUUACCAAUAUUUUUGUACUUAUUCAUUUUAGAUAAUAUAUUAUUGUAUAUAUAAAAGUCUAAGAUAUGUUAAUUUUUAGACAUGUAUUAUACAGUCUAAAUUUAUCAAUUGAAUAUACUUUUAACAUAUUUAAGUAUAAUAAUUUUAUGUUAACAUGAUCAUGACUAUAAAGUAGAUAUAAUUUAUUUAUUUUUUCAUUUUAUAAUCGAUAACUUAAAAUACGUUAAGUUAUUGUUAAAAUAUUUUACACAGAUUUAUUAGAAUUUUUAAAAUAUAAUAUAUAAAUAUAUAUUAUAUUUAAAAUGAAACUAUAUUAUGAUUAAAGUAGUUACAAAUUUUUUAUAUUAUUAGCUUUAAAGAAAUACAUGUUAAUUUUUAUAAAUGUAUUAUAUAGUUUGCUAAUGUUAACCUAUCUUACCAACAUAUUAGAUUUUAUUUUUGAACAUAAAUAUUUUAUACUUACGAAAAUAAAAUAUUUAAAAUAUAUAAAUUUAAUAUAAUUUUAUUAUAUUUAGCUCAACAUAGUAAUUUUCUUUUAAUAUGAUUGAUUAUGAUUAUAUAAUAGAUAAAAUAUUAUAUAAAUUUUUAUUUUUCAUUUUAUAAAUGAUAACUAAAUAUUAAUGUAUAAUAAUUAAUUUUGAAAUUAAUGAAAAUAUUUAAAUAUAAUUUCAAAAAUGAAGAUCUUGUAAAAAUCUUUUAAAACAAAUUUGUUCAAAUUUUAAGAUAAAUAUAAUUAUAUUUAAAAUGAAAAGAUAUCAAAAGAUAUUAUGAUUAAAAUAUUUUAAGGAUUCUAUGUAUUAUUAGUCUUAAUAAGAUUUCUAGUAAUGGUCCAAAUUAAAAAAUCACGCAUGAAAGAAGUCAUAACUUCUAUUUUAAUAUAUAAGAUAAAUCAAAUUCAAAUGAUGUUAACUAAUCCGAAUUUAGAUGUUUGUUUUCACUUUUCUAUACAUAAAUUAUUAUUUUAUAACAUUAAUGGUAUAUAUUUUAACGUUAAUCAUAUACUUAAAUGUUUAUAUAACUAUUUCAAAUACAAUAAUUUUAUAAUUUACAUGUUAUAAUUAAUCAAUUGUUUAAAACCGUAUGUAUUUGUCACUUCUUAUUAUAUGUUUAUCUUAUUAUAUUUGCAUUUAGAUAUUAAGCACAAUUUUAAUAUAUUCAUGAGAAAACAUAUUUCAAAAUUAUUUUGUAUUUAAUUUAUGCUAAAUUCUGACCCGUCUUUCAAAGUUGGAUUUCUUUUUACCAAUAUUUUUGUACUUAUUCAUUUUAGAUAAUAUAUUAUUGUAUAUAUAAAAGUCUAAGAUAUGUUAAUUUUUAGACAUGUAUUAUACAGUCUAAAUUUAUCAAUUGAAUAUACUUUUAACAUAUUUAAGUAUAAUAAUUUUAUGUUAACAUGAUCAUGACUAUAAAGUAGAUAUAAUUUAUUUAUUUUUUCAUUUUAUAAUCGAUAACUUAAAAUACGUUAAGUUAUUGUUAAAAUAUUUUACACAGAUUUAUUAGAAUUUUUAAAAUAUAAUAUAUAAAUAUAUAUUAUAUUUAAAAUGAAACUAUAUUAUGAUUAAAGUAGUUAAUUUUUAUUUUUCAUUUUAUAAAUGAUAACUAAAUAUUAAUGUAUAAUAAUUAAUUUUGAAAUUAAUGAAAAUAUUUAAAUAUAAUUUCAAAAAUGAAGAUCUUGUAAAAAUCUUUUAAAACAAAUUUGUUCAAAUUUUAAGAUAAAUAUAAUUAUAUUUAAAAUGAAAAGAUAUCAAAAGAUAUUAUGAUUAAAAUAUUUUAAGGAUUCUAUGUAUUAUUAGUCUUAAUAAGAUUUCUAGUAAUGGUCCAAAUUAAAAAAUCACGCAUGAAAGAAGUCAUAACUUCUAUUUUAAUAUAUAAGAUAAAUCAAAUUCAAAUGAUGUUAACUAAUCCGAAUUUAAACUCGACGAAGUAUAUAUAAUUGAUGUGGACAAAAGUAUAACUUUGAUUUGGUGAACUCCAAAAUUGUAUAACUCUAAUAAUGCAAGUGUCAGAGACCAGCUACACUAGUUAAAAACAAGAACAGCAGAAAAAAGUAAAUCCAGAUUAGGUUCCAGAAUAAGAAGACAAGACAGCACCCAAGUUUCAAUUUGCAUACAUAGCCGUUACAAUGUCGCUUGUAUAGUUGUAUAGUAGCAAGAUCACUCGUUAGCUCUCAUUGAAGCAAAAACGCCCUACACAUAUUAUAGAACAUUGUGAAUUUGUGGUUGGAUUAUAGCACCUGUUUCAACAAAGAAUGAAGGCUUUAGACGAUUUUCCAUCAGAAGUCCCUUCGCAUCUUAUCCUUAAGUGAGACUUCUUUGUAUGAUUUGAUUUUUCCUGCAGCUUGCCUUGAAGGUCUCCCAACAUAUGUUUCUCUCAUCUCCUCUGCUUCAUCGCCUGUUGGUUUGUUCUUUGAUUCUCUUUUAAGCUCUGUUGAAACUGAAGAUGAUACCUGACUAGACUCCUCAACAAUGUCAUCGUGCAACGGAGGAUCUGUGGAUACUUUGAUGUCUCUCUGAGAUGUAACUUCUGUCGAAUGUCUUCUUGAAGAGACUCUUCUGUCAAGUAUACAUUUAGUUACAACAGUCUUAACUCUUUUAUUCUGAGGAAUAGAUGAAAUUUUAUCUAUCACUACAAAAACCUGCUUCUCCCGGUUAUCUCUUUCGUGUCAUGUAGCUCUACUGUUUCGGGCUUAGACCCGAUGGACAGAUCACUCGCAGAGCAUCUGAAAUGGCAUCAUUUAUGAACAAGUUAUCAAGCAAGAAGAGUGGAAAAGGAGAGAACAAAUGGAGCUUAUACAAACCCGGCUUUUGCAGCAGAUUCUUGAUCAUCAUGUAUACCAAAGUUUUCAGUCACGCCUAGCUCUUGGAUAUUAAAUCUCCUAGACUGUCUUCUCAAAGAAACCCUGAGAAAUAUGAAAAUCGCAAUUUUAGCAACCUUCAAAACGGCACUCUACUUAUAAACAUGGCCUAACGCUUAUUGCAGACCUCCUGAUCAUAUUGGUUGUCUGUGCUGACUCUCCUGGUCUGCCAAUUAUAUCUAAUACUUCGGAAUUGGCGGGAUUCGACCUUCCAGAAACUCUGCUCUAAGGAAAAAAGACAAAUCCAGAAUGACAAGUUUGUACAAGACAGUGGAUGUAACAAAAGGCAGACUUAGCAAGAGAGAAACUGGACCUUUUAUUGUUGGCUUUGUCAUUUAUUUGCAAUGAGUUACAGUCAGAACUCUCUGAAGCUUAAAACAGAACGGUGAUAGGGUAAAGGUUUUAAGAGGUUCCAAUGCUCCACAAUGAUAGCCAAAACGCUACCACUAUAAUCUUAACCGUUGCUUUUCUUACCAGCCUUAUGAUCCUCGCCAUUUGGAUGAAAGACUCCGGAAGCCCCAUGAGAAGCGUUUGCACGAUCCUGAGAGUUACAACAAAAAGUUUGAACAAUCUACUAGUAUGGUGCUAAUGUCCUACUUUCAGAGGUUCGCAAAAGCCAAUGCUCAUAAGUACCUUGUCUUCUGAUGCAUCGUGGUGUGUACAUGGAAGCUUUUGUGGCUGGAAAGAAAAGUUUACACCCUCUCAACUAUGUAAUAAAUAUGGUAAUCGGAAACUAACAUACAAAAUAAAACAGACCUCAAGCGGCAGUUUCCUAGCCAUGAGUACCCCGUUCUUGCAACUAAGUUCGUGCUGAAGUGCCUUCAGCUGAAAUACACAGAAAAUUCCCGCUGAAGAACUUAUAGUUAUUGAUUAAACAGUCCUGUGUUUAAGCAACUUGGGUUCCAGACUAGGAACAUACUUGGUCUUUGCUUGUUCUGAUCUCCUGAAACAAUAAUGAAAAAUAACUUUGGAAACCCAUUGUAACCAAAGAGCUCCCAAAUCAUAUAUCCAAAUCAAUCAAUCAAAAAUGAGAUAUACCGCCAAGAUACGAGUGUUGGUCUGGGAAAGCUGCAAGUUCUGUGCUUGCACCAUCUGUAAGUUGAUCCUAUAUCUCUGCAGCUCACUUCCAGUCCUCUCAAUGAUUGCACUAUGGUCACAAAAAAAACAACAAUAAUCAUUAGCAGCAAAUCAACGUACACAAAAUAGUCACAAGUCUCAUACUUUCUCUCCGUGAGGGCUUUCAUCAGUCUCAUGUUUUCCUGCAAAAAUAAAAAGAGAAUGCGUUUGAAUAAGGUAGAGAACGUCAUAAACAUUUUUAAUGAACUCAAUAAACAUUUGCCUUCUGAAGUUUUUCAGAGAGUGACAAAGAUUGCUGCUGCUGAUUCGCUCCAUGGUUCAGCAUCAUUUUCUGAUUCGGCAAGUUAGUUAUAUCUCCCAGUGUUCUUCUCUGUGCACUGUUCAUCGGAAGAUCCUGAAUCAUCUUCUCUCCUUUCGCUUUGUUAGUAGAAACACCUAUAUAAUUUCAAACGCAACCAAAUCCAAACGUAGCUAAAUCAUCAUACGAACACUCCAAUAUAACAGAAUCAAACUCUAACAAUCGAUAAAGAACAACGAAACUCCAAAGCAAUUAGCUGAGAUUCAAUUUACAAAUCUAGAUCGAAACGAAACCAUAUGAGAUCCGAUUGAAAGGAUCUCUCGAAAUGUGAGCUAAGCAAGGCUAACAUCGAACCUUCAACGGCGUGAUCGUCGACUUUAAGCACCGCCGUUCUCGUUCGCACCAUCGCGAAGGCGGAGUAUAAACCCUAAUGCCCCCUUCGCGUCGCCUCUCUCGGGAUCGGAAUUGAAAAAUUCCGGAGGGAAAAUAAGAAUAUAAUGUCACCAAUUUGGUUCGGUUUAACUUUCACCGGUUCGUUUGCUUUAUUUAAUUUCACCCAGUUUAAACGAUUCACUAUAUUUUGACACGUGAGCGGAUAUAUUUUGACACGUGAGCGGAUGAGGAUUGAUGUUUUUGGUUCGGUUAAAUCUUUAACUGGUUCGCUUGGAUUAUAGGAAUAGACUAUUAGAUUGGUUUACGCGAAUGUCACCAAUUUGGCUCGGUUUAACCUUAACCGGUUCGCUUUCUGUAUUUAAUUUUAAUUAAUGUGCUUAACCGAUUUCAUGGUUUUGGUUUUUAACAGUUUUAACGGUUAAAAGAACCACAGAUUGUUUAGUUAGUCGUUUCCUUCUUUCAAGAACCUCUGAAACGACUCGAAUCUUUCAGAGCGGGGUCCAUGGCGUCUUCGAAGCGUUCGUGGACGUUGUCUUCGUUGCCACCGGAGAUAAUAGAAGAAAUACUCUACAGGGCUCCGCCUGAAUCUCUACUCCGGUCAAAACCGACGUGCAAGCAAUGGCACGCUCUCAUCACCAGCAGAAGAUUCAUCUACGAACACUUGCGUCGCUCCCCGCAAAGAUUCAUAAGAACCGAUGAGACAGUAGUACAGAUCAUGGAUCCGGUGACAAGAAGACGCUCAGAUUCACCACUCCCGAAAGAGCUCCAACGUCCGUACGAUGUAAAUGUGAUGAUACACUGCGAUGGACUCAUGUUGUGUAUGCGUGGUCACUUUCAAUAUAGAAAGACCAACCUCGCGCUUUGGAAUCCCGUUUUGAGGGAACUCAGAUGGAUCAAACCGUCCAAGUGUUUCACGCCUUCUGAUUACUACGGGAUCGGAUACGACAUCAACAAGUCUCGUUAUGAUUACAAGAUCUUGAGGUUUUAUGAGCGCCGCUAUGAUCAUUAUAUGCGUCAUGAUGAUUAUUAUGAUGAAGAUGAAGAUGACGAUGACGAUGAAGCAGAGGUUGAGAUAUAUGAGUGCAAGACUCGUUCGUGGAGAACUCUUGGCGAUGCCAAGGUUGAUUGCUGGGAUGUAGAUAUCACGUGCAAAGGCGUGUCCGUGAUGGGUAACAUGUACUGGUUUGCUCAGAAGUAUUGGGAAGCUGAGAAGAAGCACAGAAGCUACAUUCUAGGUUUCGAUUUCUCAGCUGAAACGUUCAAGGACGUAUGCUUUGCUCCUCCCUCUCGUGGCGAUAAUUAUCUAGCCUGUUUCGAUGGAGAUAGAUUGUCUUUGCUACAGCAAGAUCAAGAAACGACAAGCCCGAUUGAGGUGUGGGUUUCAAGCAAGUUGGCUGGUGAUGGGGAUGUCUUGUUCAGCAAGUAUUUCAGCGUGUCCCGCCCCGAUCUUCCGGCGUUACUGUUCCAUACAGAUAUGGCUCAUCCGGUGUACUGCGUUGGGAAGCACAAACGCGUUAUGGCAUGGUGCGAGGGAGAUGUGUAUGAUGGUGAUGAUAAGAUUCCUCCUACUUGCGUCAUUUUCUAUGAAAUUGAUGAGGGUGGGGUAAGAAGACAGCUUGAGACAGAGCGACACUACGGGUCUGGCUAUUCUGGGACUUUUCUUUGUGGCUACGUAUACGUUCCAAGUCUAGUCCCUCUUCCGGUAUAAGGGGUGGAUAAGAGGGUUUUGGUUCUGUCUUCUAAGCUUUCGUUUUAGUCUUUGUGUUGUUGAUACUCUGCGCUGUAUAUAUGUUACUGAAAAUGACAUUGGUUUUGGUUUUUGUAUGACAAUCUUGAGAGGGUUUAGGUUAUGGUUCACAGAUACUUAUGAAAAUGCAACUUAUGAAAACUGUAAUUAGCUCAAUUUGAAAGAAAAAAAAAAGUCAUUUUGUAGUAAAGUUUGAUUGAAUUCUAUUUAUAUAUAAAGAGUAAAGAAAAAUCUACAGAUUUAUGAAAAACUGCAAUUAGCUCAAUCUGAUAAAAAAAAAGAGAGAAAAAAAGAAAUCAUUUUGUAGUAAAGUUUGAUUGGAUUGUAUUUAUAUAUAAAAAGUAAAGAAAAAUCUACAGAUUACCCCUAGAAAAUAUUUGAAGAAUGCAGAGCAUUGUUUGUUUGUAACAUUUUUCUGAUAAAAACAUUUGUAUUGCAAAUGAGUAACAAACUAAACUGAUCAACAACACUAACAGAUUAUUAUUAGAUUGAAUUCCGGAGGGAAAGAAGAAAGAAAGACACGGUUCGGUUGGGUUUACUGAAACUGACACCCAACAAUCUUGAGAGGGUUUAGGUUAUGGUCCAUAGUUGUAUCAUUUUCAACAAAACUUAUGAAACAUGAUACAAUGCUACUAGUAGGAAAGAGCUUUUCGGAACAAUGAUAAUCAGUCCCUUGUUGAGAAUCUUACUCAGGUUUUUUCACUCUCUUAAUCUUCCUUAUUCUCUAACACUUUUUAUAUGUUUUCUCUGUUUUUGUCUGUGCAAAACUUUAUUUUACCGAACUCAUUUUUCAUUCAUUUUUGCUUUCUUUCUUACAAUCAUGUUUACCGGCGCUAAGCAUGUUUCCUAUACUUCUAGUUCUUAUACUCAUCUAUACUUCUAGUUCUUAUACUCAUCUUCUAGUGUUAAACUUAGUUACCUUACUAGUUACAUACUUCUAGUUUCGUAGACUAAUCUUACUAACUAACUAACUCUUAACAUGAAUAUUCACUUGUAACUACUAGUUACAUAACCAACUUCCUUGUUGACCUUGAUUUUGACUUCUCUUCUUUGGUUCGGUUUAACCUUAACCGGUUCGCUUGCUUUAUUUAAUUUCACCGAGUUUAAACGAUUCAUGUUUUUUGUUCGGUUAAAUCUUAAAUCGGUUCGCUUGGUUUAUAGGAAUAGACUAUUAAUUUGGUUUACGCGAUUGUCACCAAUUUGGUUCGGUUUAACGUUAGCCGGUUCGCUUUCCGUAUUUAAUUUCAUUAAUGUGCUUAACCGAUUCAAGGUUUUAGUUCGGUUGAAUAUUUUUAACUGUUUUAACGGUUAUAAAAGAACGAACCACAGAUUGUUAGUUGCUUCCAAGAACCUCUGAAACGACUCGAAUCUUUCAGAGAGCGCCCAUGGAUUCUCCAAAGCGUUCUUGGUCGUUGUCGACGCUGCCACCGGAGUUAAUAGAAGAACUACUCUACAGGGCUCCGCCUGAAUCUCUGAUCCGAGCAAAACCGACGUGCAAGCAAUGGUACUCGCUCAUCACCAGCAAGAGAUUCAUCUACAAUCACCUCGACCGCUCCCGCAAAAGAUUCAUAAGAACCGUUGGUACGGUGCAAAUCUUGGAUCCGGUGACAAGAACACGCUCAGAGACACCACUCCCAAAAGAGUUCCAACGUCCAUAUGGUGUAAGAACGAUGGUUCACUGCGAUGGGCUCUUGCUGUGUAUGUGUGGUUACUUUAAUUACAGAAACACCAACCUCGCGAUUUGGAAUCCCGUUUUGAAGAAAAUCACAUGGAUCAAACCCUCGACGUGUUUCACAACAUCUGAUUACUACGGGAUUGGAUACGACAUCAAGAAGCCUCGUUAUGAGUACAAGAUCCUGAGGUUUACUGAUCACCUCUAUGAUCAUAAUGUUACGUAUGAUGAAGAUGGACCGGAGGUUGAGGUAUACGAGUGCAAGACAAGCUCCUGGAGAACUCUUGACACCGAGGUUGAUUGGCAAGUAGACCUCUCGUGCAAAGGUGCGGCUGUGAUGGGGAACAUGUACUGGGUUGCUAGUAAACAUGAUGAACAAUAUAUUCUAGGUUUCGACUUCUCCGUUGAGAGAUUCAAGGACGUAUGCUUUUGUCCUCCUCCCGCUUUCAAUAACUAUCUAGCUUGUUACAAUGGAGAUAGGUUGUCUUUGCUACAGCAAGAUGAAGAAGAACCAUGGGAUAUUGUGGUGUGGGUUACAAACAAGUUGGCUGAUGUGGAUGUCUCGUUCACCAAGUAUUUCAGUGUGUCCCGACCAGAUGUUCCGGCGUUACUGGACCAUACAGAUAUGGCUAAUCCGGUAUACUUCAUUGGCAAGCAGAAGCGUAUCAUAGCAUGGUGCGAGCGAGAGGUAUUUGGAGGUGAUGAUGAGAUUCCUCCUACUUGCAUCAUUUUCAAUGAAAUCGAUGAGGGUGGGGUAAGAACACAACUUGAGACAGAACGUCACUGCGGGUAUGGCUAUUUUGGGACUUUCUUUUGUGGCUACGUGUACGUUUCAAGUCUGGUCCCUCUUCCUGUGUAAGAGGUGGACAAGAGAGAGAGAGAGAGAGGGUUUUGUUUCAUGUUCUAAGUUUAGUUUUAGUUUUUGUUUGUUGAUCUUAUGCACUAUAAAAAUGUUACUGUAAUCGACAUUGGCUUUUGUUUUAUGACAUUCUUGAGAGGAUUUUAGGUUAUGGUCUAUAUAGUUGUAUCAUUUUCAACAACACAAAUGAAAUCAUUUGGAAAGUGGUCAUAUGUGGUUGGACCAUAAUAAUUAAUGCUCCACAACGUCAUCUAUUCUAUACUAAAAGCACGAUAUAGAGUGAUUUCACAGUGUCCACGUCGACAAAUUUAUUCGGCCAAUCAAAACAUUUCAAUAAUACACGUAUGACCUCCUAAACUGUUGCUUUUGUAUGGGCUUCAAUGUGGUUUUACUGGGCUUCGUCGGUUUCAAACUACCGGUACAAUUAGAAAAAAAAAACCUGAGACGGAUAACACGAUGCUCUCUCCUCUAUCGCUUCGUCUUCACCGUUUUCUCUCCAUCCUUUCAGUUCUCUCGAUCCUCAUAUUAUAAAUAUUCGGCUUUAAGGAAACGGAGAAGGAAAGAAGGAGACCAUAUGGAAAGACAUGCAUUUGAAGAUCUUCACAACCACAUCAAGAGCUCGGCGGUGAUCGUGACGGAGCCCGAUUUCAACGCCAAGAUCUGCCACUUCGGCACCGGGCAGCUCUGUGGGGAAACAGACGGAUCGAGAGAUUCCAAAGCCGUUUGAUUCGAAGGAGUGAUAGGAUACAUGUCGCCGGAUUUUCAGGCUUUGGGGUUGCGACUCAGGAAUCAGACGUGUUCGCCUUCGGAGUCAUGAUGCUUGAGCUUCUCUCCGGCGAGGAGUCGUUGAAGUAUAGGUAUGAGAAAUCGACCGGGGAUUUUGAACGGACUUUGGUGAUUGAAAUCGCGAAAGCGGUGGUUGACGGCGGAGAUGGUGGUGACGUAGGGGGCGGUUGAGGAGGUGGAUGGAUCGGAGGUUGGGGGAUUCGUUUCCGGUGACGGUGGAGGAGAAGUUAAUGCGGUUGGCGUUGGAGUGCGUCGAGGAUGAGGCGGUGAACCGGCCGGAGAUGGGAAGAGUCACCGGAAAGAUAUCGCAAUUGUAUUUGGAAUCGGAGAAAUGGUUGGCGAAUAUGAAGACUUCCUUUCCAGGUUUCAGAAGUCUCAUUUCUUUGUUAGGAUCGCAGAGUCUGGUGAGCCGCUUUGGUCAAAGAAACCUCUGUGUUGGGAGAUACAAAGCUAGAGGAAAAGCGGGAAAAAGAGACCUUGUGUUAGUGCUUUUUUAGAUAGAGGAGAGUUUGAUCUUAAUGUUGCUGGAGGUGUAGCAAGAAGUAAGGCAAAAUGUUGUGCCUUACCCAAUGGAGACACAUGAUGGUAAUUCUUAUAAGUUGUUGUUUUAACCUACUGAUUCUCACACAAUGCCUUUAUUUGGAAGGGUGAAGGUCUCUUUACAAGUUUAUAUCGCUGACUGUCCCAAUGAACCAAUCAUUGAGAUACUGCAGUUUGAGAAGCAUCAAGACAUGGACCAACUUUCUGAUCAUGAACACAAGGAUCCAUAUGGGAACCUUUUGAAGUGGUUGAUACCGUUGGAUAACACUAUUUCUCAGCAACCCCGUUACCUCCUAUAAGCUCUACCCCAGAUAUCAGCAGCAGUGCACACAAGCCAUUACUCUCUUCUGGCUCAGGAUCUCAGCUCUUCUCAUUCGUCCAUUUUAGAAGCUACUCCAUGUUAGCUCUGCCGGCGCCGUGUUUAUAGUUUCUGUACGUAUGUGUUUGUGGAAGGUAAAGGUCUUUCUUUUUGAAUGUGGGUGUGGCUAAUGAGCUCAAGUGUUGUGGUUUCAUGGCUCAUGUUGUUCUUUUUUGUGUAGCUUAAGCGUUUUGGUUUCAUGUCUUACAGCAGUGCACACAAGCCAUUACUCUCUUCUGGCUCAGGAUCUCAGCUCUUCUCAUUCGUCCAUUUUAGAAGCUACUCCAUGUUAGCUCUGCCGGCGCCGAACACUGCACCAGUUACUGGACCGUAAAAACUGAAAGCUCCAAACCAUCAUUUGACCUUGAAGACUGGAACUGUUACUCAGGUCAAACAUUAUGGAACGGUCACAAGUCUGGGACUGAAGAGCGCUUAUCUUUCCGGGGUGUCCCUUUGGAGCGGGAUAAAUUCUCUGUUCGUUGUGGACGUGAAGGCAUAUGCAUUCCUGGUAAGAAGAUGGAGGAAGAAACUCGAAAUCAUUCAACCUAUUGAUAUCAAUUCUUUUACAGCUGAUUGUAAUACAGAUAAACAUUUAAUAUAAAUAGUUUUAAAUUUUUAUAAUAAAUUCUAAUGUAUAUAUGUAACAUAGUCAUAUUUAAUAUAAUAUGGGUAUAUUUUGUUAACUCUUUGGAGGUUCAAUCUUGACGGACAAGAGGGAAUAGCAGAGCAUAAAUCCCAGUGAUAUAUUGAUGGGCUUUAAAACAAAAGAAAUGUCAAAAAAUGUUGAUUACAUACAAUCUGUAUCACCUGUUUACGAAUUUAUAAACAUAAACAAAGAAAUAACUAUUUAAUAUCACUAAACUUCAAUUUGAAAUAAACUUUAGUAUCACUAGGCACAAGCUAGGUUUUUAGAUUUGUGGAAUCAUAACAAAACGAGAAACAAAAAGAAUGGAAAAAAGCUCAAGGAAAAUGAUACAGUCAAAUAAGUGGCGAUGUAAAUUAGACUGAAGUAAAAGUAAAAUAAAAAAAAACCAUUAUACAAAGUCGAAUAAGGUGGCACUACAAAUAAGUAAAUGAUAGGAAGAGUAACAAAAGAGUUUGUAGCAAAGACGCAAAGAAAAACACAAGAAAUUCAGAUAAGGAAAAAAAUAGAAAUUAAAAAUUGUUAGUAAAAUGGAAAAUUCAAGAAUCAUAUACAGUAUCAAAACCUUAAAACAACACAAAUGAACCCCGUAGGCAAUAAGUAAAAUCAGUGACCACAUCAAAACACAAAAUUCACAAAUACGGUAUCACUUACAAAUAUUAUCGUGACACAUAACAAUUAUAUAUUUAAAAUUGUGACAUUUGUUAAUAUAUUUCAUAAUUAAAGAUAAAUUACAUUUACGUAUUAUAUAUUUUUUACAUAUUAUAAAAUAAUAAGUAUAUUUUAUAAUUAAAAAAUUCAGUAACAAUUACAUUUACGUAUUAUAUGUUUUUUUGUGGAAUGUUUAAUAGUUUUAGUAAUUUAUGAUUUUGAAUAAAAUUCAAUGCAAAGUCUAAAAUCUAAAUAUUAAGUUGUGAAUAUUUGUUCAAAGCUUUUAUAAAAAAAAUCAAAGCAAAUUUGAUUGCGUUUCGAUCAUUCUCUUCUACGAACUUGAGAUGCUUCAAAGCAUGAGUUAGCUCUUUGUGUAUGCCUAAUGACAGGCUUAACGACGUGAUUAACAUGCUGAGGAUUAGUUUAGAUUAGCGACGGUACCACGAGCUUCACGUCAUGGAUAAGUUAUGGUGUUCUCUUUGUGGAGUAGAUCUACUAAGCUCUUGAUUUUCUUUUGUACGUAAUUAAAUGACAGCUUCAAGAUUUAUCUCUUCUCAACAUGUUCUCAUUUUUUUUCCACAUAUAUAAUUCUAAUACUCAUGCCUUUCUAAUGCCACAGAUAAAUAGUUAAACAAAAAUUAAAUGGAUCGCUCUCACCGUCUUUCCUCUUUCUCUUUGUUUCCGUUAACAAACAUGAAUCACUUGAACAUUGAUUUUGAGAACAAGAUUGUAGAGUUUAUACAAUAAUUGAAUCUAAAAAGCCUUAAGAUGGUUAAAUUUCUGUGGAUUUUAUUUAUAAUCAGAUAGCUCAUGCUGAUUUGUUUCGGCUAUACAAAGCGGCUGAGCAUUUGUGUUGCCUACAUGAGGAAAUAACACAAGCACAAGUCCGUAUUCUGAUUAAUGAUUGUGCUGCUUUCGAAUAAGCUAUAUUUAUUAAACUAUUUAAUUACUAAUAAUGAAGUUCUUAUGUACGGUGUUAUAGAAUCUAAAUGUAUUCUUAGAAUCUAUAUGGAUCAUAAUUAAAGCUUAGAUAACACAAAUGCUCUUCGCCUCUUUGUAUAUAGCCGAAGCAAAUCAACACACGAGAGUUAUGUGAUAAUAAAUAAAAUACACCAAAAUUUUACCAUUUCUAGGCUAACACAAAUGCUCUGUAUUCAUUUCACAUGUUUGCUCAGCAUCCCAAAUAUAUUUUUUGAUUGUAACAAUAAGAAAAUUUUGAGUUUAAAUCAUUGCAAAUUUGAUAUACGAUUUAUAUGUUAUAUAUCAUAACCAUGAUAUAUAAGGAUUAUAUGUUAAAAAAAUAUAACUGUCAAAAACCCCGGGCGUAGCCCGGGAAAUUCCCUAGUAUAUAGUAAUAGCCUUCAAUUCCAACCGUUACUUCGCAUUUUUAAUUUGAAUACUCACUAUAAAAAGACUUAGAACCCAAGAAAAGAAAUUUACCCUAAUCAUAUAUUCGUGAUGAAUUCUCGCGAGUUUUAGUUGUUACUUUGAUUAGAUUGGUUUACGGAUCCAAUUUCGUUCGGUUUAACCUUAACCGGUUCACUUAUAUAUUAAAUCAGUGAGUUGCUUAAAAAGAUUCAUGUUGGGUUUGGUUUAAUCAUUAACGGUUUUAACGGUUAAAAGAACCAUGCACGCACAUCUUUCUAUAUAAGAAAGCAAAAGAUAUAUCCAAGAAACUACUCGAAUCAUAACACCUCCUAAGUUCCAUUUUAGUAAAUUUGCAAGUACGGAUCGGGUUCAGAUAUAACACAUCGGGUUUGAGUCGGUUUUGUAACACAUCAUAGAAUCCAUAAAGUAAUGAUAUAUCAUUCGGAUUGGGUUAUAUCAGAUGGAUUGGGUUAUAUCAGAUCGGUUCGGAUAUAUCAGAAAUAAAAUCUAAAAUUUAAAAGUAAAACAUAAGAAAUAUAUAAUUAUUUAUAUAUAAUUAAGUAUUUAAGGUAGUUAUUUAAAUUUUAAAUACUCGUUGUUAGAUAACAUAUCAAAAUAAAUAUGAAAUUGAAUAUUUGAAGUAUAUAUUCAUGUUUCAUAUAAUUAUAUUGUAUAUUAUUUUGGAUAUUCGGAUCGGUUUCUUUGGAUAUCUUAUCCGAUUUUUCGAUUUUUUUUUCGGUUUUUCGGGUUACCCGUUCGGGUUCGGUUAAUAAUACUUCGGGUUCGGAUGUGUUUUGUACCACCUUACAGGACCCAUUCGGAUAUUUUUUACAUUUCGGACCAGGUACGGACCGGGUUUUUCGGUUCGGAUUUCGGGAUACGAAUAUUAUGCCCAUGCCUAAUAUUGAUACUCACUAUAAAAUUUAGAACCCAAGAAAAGAAAUUUACCCUAAUCAUAUAUACGUGAUGAAUUCCCGCGAGAUUUAGUUGUUACUUUGAUUGGAUUGGUUUACGGAUCCAAUUUAGUUCGGUUUAACCUUAACCGGUUCACUUAUAUAUUAAAAUAUUAAAUCAGUGAGUUGCUUAAAAAGAUUCAUGUUGGGUUCGGUUUAAUCAUUAACGGUUUUAACGGUUAAAAGAACCAUGCAUGCACCUUCUUCCUAUAUAUGAAAGGAAACCAUUUAUCCAAGAAACUACUCGAAUCUUCCAGAGCGCGGCUCAUGGCGUCUUCACAGCGUUCAUGGUCGUUGUCAUCGCUGCCGCUCGAUAUGAUAGAAGAAAUAUUCCACAGAAGUCCGGCUGAAUCUCUACUCCGAUCUAAACCGACGUGCAAGAAAUGGUACGAUCUCAUCAAGAACAAGAGGUUCAUCUACGAACACUUGCGUCGCUCCCCGGGAAGAUCCCUUAGAACCGAUGAGCGACGGUUCCUAAGAAUCGACCAGACGGUACAAAUCAUGGAACCGGUGACAAGAACACGCUCAGAGAAACCGAUCCCACACGAGCUCCAACCACUAGAAAACAUCAAAGCCAUGGUUCACUGCGACGGACUCAUGUUGUGUAUGUGCAGCGACAUGGAAUCAGGAAUCGUCCACCUCGCUCUUUGGAACCCCCUCACGAGGCAUAUCACACUGAUCCAGCCCUCGACACGUUUCACGACUUCUGACUACUACGGGAUUGGACACGGCGUCAACAAGUAUCGAGAUGGUUACAAGAUCCUUAGGUUUUCUGAUCGCCGUUACGAUAAUUAUCAUCAUCAUCAUCAUUCUGAAGUGGAUUUUGAGAUUUAUUACUGCGAGACGAGUUCUUGGAGAACCCUCGAUGAUGCCAAGGUUGAUUGGAAUGUGGAUUUCACGUGCCAUGGUGUGUCUGUUAUGGGGAACAUGUACUGGCUUGCUCAUAGGGAUGUUGAGGAGGAGGAGGAGCUCGAAAGCUGUAUUAUAGGCUUCGAUUUCACCGCUGAGAAAUUCAUGGACGUAUGCUUUUGCCAUUCCAUUUUUGAUUACAAUUACUUGAGCUGUUUCGGUGGAGAUAGAUUGUCUUUGCUACAACAAAAUCACGACGAGCCAAGUCUUAUUGAGGUGUGGGUUUCAAGCAAGUUGGCUGAUGAUGGGGGUGAUGUCUCGUUUACAAAAUAUUUCAGUGUGGUCAGCUCUGAUCUUCCAUGGUUACAUCUCGAUAGAUCAGAAGAUGCUAGUCAUCCGGUGUACUACAUUGCCAAGAACAAACGUAUCAUAGCAUGGUGCGAGGGAAUGAUGGAUGAUGGUGAUAGACUCCCUGUUUGGAUCAUUCUCUAUGAAAUUGAUGAGGAUGGUGUAAGAAAUCAACUUGAGACAGAACGACAUUACGAGAAUGACUAUGUUGGCACCUUCCUUUGUGGUUACGUGUAUGUUCCAAGUCUAGUCCCUCUUCCAUGAUAAGAGAAAGGAGGUUAUGUUUUCAUGUUCUAAUUAAGCUUUAGUUUGGGACUUUUAGUCUUUUGUUUGUUGAUCUUCUGCAAUGUAAAGAUGUUUACUGAAUUAACAUUGGUCUUUGUAUGAUAAUCUUGAGAGGGUUUAGGUUAUGGUUCACAGUUGUGUCAUGUGUGUAUCAGUCAUCUUUGUUGUUCAAUAAAACUAAGAUACAUGCCGUAAAGAAAUGCCAUUGUUGUUCAUUUAUGUAGUUAACUGAUUGAUAAAUUCUAUUUAUAAAUGCAAGGAGUAAAGAUAUAUCUACAGAUUGCACGAGGAGACAGAGCACUGCAGUUGUAAUGUAACAUACAUUGCAAAUGUAAACCAUGUUGAGAUGAAGAGAUCAAGCUAUAUGAAAGAAGGAUAUCAAAGGCACCAGACUUGAGAAGUUAGGCACCAGACUUGAGACUGUUGCUAAGGCACCAGACUUGAGAAGUUAGGCACCAGACUUGAGACUGUUGCUACAGUACUCGGCCCAGAAAGGAAGAAGCCCAUGACAGCCUUUCUCAAGCUCUUAAAACCCUUGUAUCCUCUCUAUAUAAACUUUAUAAUCUCUUCAUUAAGAUUCAAGCAAGAUAAUAAAAAGUCUCUGGUCAUCUUUGAAUUCUCUCUCUAGCCUUUAAUCUCAUUUCCAAAUCUCAUUAAUCUCCAAUCUCUAAUCUCUAAUCUCUUUAAUAAUCCUCUCAAAUCUCUUUCUAAUCUCAUUUAUUAUUCAAGAUGUCUAGAAAUAUUAUGGUAUCAGAGCCUGGGUGAAUGUUCUUGAGUUCUUGAGGGUUCUUGAGAUUAUCCAAGGCUAGAUCUUUGAAAAUCUCAAGAAAGUUUCUGUUGGUGUUUUUACUGAAGAACUAGCCUAAAGCUGGUUUCUUUGGUGGUUUGGAGAGCUCAGAUCCGUGUUCAAGCUUAAAGGUCAAGUCUUUGAAGUGUAUUGGUGCUUUUGUGUACAAACUGAGAGGUCUUUGAGGUGUUCUUAAGGAUCUAAGUGAAAAAGUUCAAGUCUUUUCAAGCUAGUGGGUUACUAGAGUCAAGAUUGAAGCUUUUUGAAAGAUGGAAGAUAGUGGUGGAGUCUACAUGAAGAUUGCUACCAAGUUCAAGGGAAACAACUACCUUGUGUGGUCUAGGAUGGCCAGGAAUGCUAUUGGAGGCAAGGGAUUGCUCAAACAUCUCACAUCCAGUGUGAUUCCAAAGCAAGAGAUCAAAGAAAAGGAGGAAGAAGAGGACGAAAGUGAGACUGCCUAUGAUAAAUGGCAACAAGCUGAUUGUAUGGUGAUUAAUGCUCUUCUUGCCUCCUUGGAUCAGAACUUGAUGGAUGCUUAUAGCUACUGUGAUACAGCUAAAGAACUUUGGGAUACAUUGAAGCAAAUCUAUGGAAACACCUCAAAUCUCAACAGGGUCUUUGAGGUGAAGCAAGCUCUCAAUAGUCUAGUACAAGAAGAUAUGGACUUUGAGAAGCAUUUGGGCAAGUACAGAGCACUGUGGUCUGAACUAGAGAUGUUGAGGCCAAAUACCAUUGAUCCAAUGGAGCUUAACAAGAGAAGGGAGCAGGAUAAAGUCUUUGGACUGCUUCUCACUUUGAAUCCAGCAUAUGGAGGGUUCAUUCAGCACAUGUUGAGAGAUGAGACUCUACCUAACCUAGAAGAGGUGUGUGCUAGGAUCCAAAAGGAAUAUGGGAACAUGGAGCUAUUUAACAAGAAGGGAAAGGAGCUAGCUUUGGCAAAUCAAGCAGCGCAAGCUCAAGGAGAUCAGGGAGAACUUGCACAAGCUAACAAGGCCAUCCAUGGCAAGUAUGAGAAGUUUGGUGGGAGUUGUGAUCACUGCAAGAAGCAAGGCCACAAGAAGAGCCAAUGCUGGAUCCUACAUCCUCAUUUGAAGCCAGCCAAGUUCAAAGAGGCCAAAGCUCACAUGGUGGAGAGUAGUGGUGGUGGUGCAAGCAAGGAACAUGCUGGAGAGAUGGAUAAUGGGAAAUCUUUGGUGGCUUAUACUGGUGGUCCUAGUUCUAGAGGCAGCACUAGUGGUGAUGAAUACUUGAAGAGAUCAGACUUGGAUGUUCUCAUCAAGCUCUUCAAGGAACAUGGUAACACCCUUGCAUACUCUCAUGGAGCUUCUAUGAUUGCUAGAACUGAUAGGUUACUAGAGGACUCAUUUGACAUGUAUAAUCAUCUUAGAAAGGGUAUCCUUGAUAGGAUUGAUCAUGCAUAUGAUUCUGCCCAUGCAUAUAAGCCCUCUAGUAUACUAGCGCAUCUAGCUAACUCCACAUCUAGUUCAUAUAAGCCUCUCAUUGUUGAUUCUGGUGCAUCUCAUCACAUGAUAAGUGACACUAGAUUGAUUAACAAUAUUGAACCUGCUCAUGGUAAUGUGAUGAUAGCCAAUGGUGCUAAAAUUCCUAUUAAAGGAAUAGGAGAGCUCAAGCUAUUUGAUAAAGAUUCCAAAGCGCUUUAUAUGCCUGAUUUUACUUCUAAUCUUCUUUCAGUUAAGAAGUGUGCUACUGAUCUGAAUUGUAAUGUCAUUUUCAGCCCUAACAGUGUAAAAUUUCAGGAUAUUGAAAGCCAUAAGGUGCUUGGAAGUGGAGUUACCAAGGGAGAUCUUUAUGUGCUAGAGAAUUUGAGCUUCUCUGCUCCUAGUUCAAAAUUUAGUUGUUCCUUUUCUUCUGCUUCUACUAGUCUAAGCAAGAAUGCAUUGUGGCAUGCUAGACUAGGACACCCUCAUAAUAAAGCUUUAAAACUGAUGUUGCCAGGUGUUUCUUUUGAGAAUAAUGAUUGUGAAGCUUGUAUUUUAGGCAAGCAUUGUAAAACUGUUUUUCCAAACUCUUCUACUAUUUAUGAAAAUUGCUUUGAUCUUGUUCACUCGGAUGUUUGGACAGCUCCCUGCUUAUCUAGGGAAAAUCAGAAGUAUUAUGUCACUUUCAUUGAUGAAAAAUCCAAAUACACCUGGUUAACUUUAAUUCCAACCAAAGAUAGGGUGCUUGAUGCAUUUAGAAACUUUCAAACUUAUGUGAUUAACCAAUAUCAUGCCAAGAUUAAAGUUUUCAGGUCUGAUAAUGGAGGAGAGUACAUAAGCAAUGCAUUCAAGCAACACCUAUCUGGCAGUGGGAUUCUUCACCAAACUAGCUGUCCAUACACUCCUCAACAAAACGGUGUGGCUGAGAGGAAGAACAGACAUUUGAUGGAGGUCGCUAGGUCCUUGAUGUUUCAAGCCAAUGUCCCAAAGAGAUUCUGGAGUGAUGCUGUCGUUACUGCUUGCUACUUGAUCAACAGGACACCUACUCUUGUGCUACAAGGGAAGUCGCCAUUUGAGGUGCUCAACAAGUACAAGCCAGUUCUCUCACAUCUCAAGGUCUUUGGGUGCUUAUGCUAUGUAAUGGUUCCUGGUGAGUUGAGAAAUAAGCUAGAAGCAAGGAGCUCCAAGGCUAUGUUUAUUGGAUACUCUACCAGCCAGAAAGGGUACAAGUGCUAUGAUGAAGACACUAGGAGAGUGAUGAUCUCUAGAGAAGUGAAGUUUGUGGAGGAAAGAGGGUAUUUUGAAGAGAAGAACCAAGAAGAUCUGAAAGAUUUGGCUUCAGAUAGAGCAACAGUCUUGAGAACUAUACUGGAGAAUCUUGGUAUCAAUGUGAACCAAGGAGGUGGUAGUGCACCAAGGGAUGCGCCUACUACAACAACAAAUGGAGGUCACGAAAGUGCACCAGUGAGUGCACCAGUUACUGAUGGAGUUCAUGUUCCUACUCUUGAUCAUGAGGGGGGGAAUGAAUCAGAGACUCUUAACCAAGGAAUGGGAGAGAGUAGUUCAAGUGGUCAAGAGAGUUCUAGUUCUCAUGAUCAGAGUGGUGAUCAAGGUGUGGAGCCUAUGAAUCAUCAAGGAGAAGCUGAGGCUAGUGGUGAUCAAGGUGUGGAGCCUGUGAAUCAUCAAGGAGGAGCUGAGGCUAGUGGAGAUGAUGCGCAAGAAGAGGACAAUGUGGAAGAGCCAGAACCUGUACAAGGUCCCAUGUUGAGGAGGAGCACACGGAAUAGGAAGCCUUCCAAAUGGGUAAACACGAGAGUGUACUACAAUGCCCAGGCUGUGGAACAUUCUUCUCAAGCUGUGUGUUCUUUUGCUCAAUAUCCAGAAGAGCAUUGUGCAUUUCAAGUGAGCUUGGAUCAGAGUCAUGUUCCAAGAAGCUAUGAAGAGGCAAUGCUGAUACAAGAGUGGAGAGAUUCAGUUAAGGCUGAAAGUGAUGCUAUGAUCAAGAAUGAGACAUGGUAUGAGAGUGCAUUGCCAAAAGGGAAGAGAGCUGUUUCUAGUAGAUGGAUCUUCACCAUCAAGUAUCUUCCAAAUGGAGAGAUAGAUAGGCGCAAGACAAGGCUUGUUGCAAGAGGUUUCACUCAAACAUAUGGAGAGGACUACAUUGAUACAUUUGCUCCAGUUGCUAAGCUCCAUACUAUCAGGAUUGUGCUCUCUUUGGCUGUGAAUCUCGAGUGGGAUCUUUGGCAAAUGGAUGUAAAGAAUGCCUUUCUUCAAGGAGAGCUAGAAGAUGAGGUUUACAUGCAUCCACCACCUGGUCUUGAGCAUCUGGUGAAGAAAGGGAAUGUAUUGAGACUAAAGAAAGCUAUCUAUGGUCUCAAGCAAUCUCCUAGAGCUUGGUACCACAAGCUGAGCACUACUUUGAAUGGAAAAGGAUUCCGCAAAAGUGAGCUUGAUCAUACUCUCUUCACUCUCACUUCUCCCUUGGGUAUUGUUGUUCUCCUUGUGUAUGUUGAUGAUAUCAUCAUCACUGGUAGUGAUAAUGAUGGUAUCAAGGCUACCAAGGAGUUUCUCAAAUCUGUUUUUGAGAUUAAAGACUUGGGAGAGAUGAAAUACUUUCUUGGCAUUGAGUUGUGUAGAGCCAAGGAAGGUUUGUUCAUCUCUCAAAGGAAGUAUACACUUGAUCUCUUGAAAGAUGCAGGUGCUUAUGGAGGAAAGACAGCCAAGAUGCCCAUGGAAGAUGGGUACAAGGCGCCACAUGAGGGGGAGCUUGAAGAUAGCAAGCCUUUUCAUGAUCCAAAGCUUUAUAGAAAGCUAGUGGGUAAGCUCAUCUACUUGACCAUCACUAGACCUGAUAUUUGCUUUGCUGUGAAUCAGGUGAGCCAGCAUAUGCAAGCUCCAAGGGAGCAUCACUGGCACAUGGUGGAGAGAGUGCUCUUGUACCUGAAUGGAACACAAGAUCUUGGAGUGUGGAUGGGCUGCAACAGAAGCACUGAAGUGGUGGGCUACUGUGAUGCAGAUUGGGCAGCAGAUAGGACUGAUAGGAGAUCAACUACUGGCUACUGCACAUUCAUUGGUGGUAACUUGGUUACUUGGAAGAGUAAGAAGCAGAAGGUGGUUUCAUGUUCUAGUGCAGAAGCUGAGUAUAGAGCCAUGCUGAAGCUUACCAACGAGUUGGUGUGGAUCAAAGGGAUCCUGAAGCACUUGGAGAUUGAUCAAGCUACACCAAUGACCAUGCAUUGUGACAACCAAGCAGCAAUCCACAUAGCCUCCAACUCAGUCUUCCAUGAGAGAACCAAGCACAUUGAAGUAGAUUGCCACAAGGUGAGGCAAAUGAUUGGUCUUGGAGUGAUUCUACCUUGCUACACCAAGAGUGAAGAUCAGUUGGCUGAUGUGUUCACUAAGGCUGCGCGGCAAAAGACUAUGGAGUCCAUCCAUAUCAGGUUGGGACUCAUAGAUCUUGGCAAGAGAAACUAGUACCCCUUACCAUGAGGUCUUUACUCUUUUUCCCUCAUCAAAGUUUUGUCCCAAUGGGUUUUUCUUUGGUGAGGUUUUUAAUGAGGGAGAUCUCAUGGCUUCCAAGCUUGACUUGUUCCACAUGGUCAAGCUUGAGGGGGAGUGUUGAGAUGAAGAGAUCAAGCUAUAUGAAAGAAGGAUAUCAAAGGCACCAGACUUGAGAAGUUAGGCACCAGACUUGAGACUGUUGCUAAGGCACCAGACUUGAGAAGUUAGGCACCAGACUUGAGACUGUUGCUACAGUACUCGGCCCAGAAAGGAAGAAGCCCAUGACAGCCUUUCUCAAGCUCUUAAAACCCUUGUAUCCUCUCUAUAUAAACUUUAUAAUCUCUUCAUUAAGAUUCAAGCAAGAUAAUAAAAAGUCUCUGGUCAUCUUUGAAUUCUCUCUCUAGCCUUUAAUCUCAUUUCCAAAUCUCAUUAAUCUCCAAUCUCUAAUCUCUAAUCUCUUUAAUAAUCCUCUCAAAUCUCUUUCUAAUCUCAUUUAUUAUUCAAGAUGUCUAGAAAUAUUAAACCAAACCAGGCGGUGGAGUUAGUGUUUCGUAAGGCAGAUGAAAAACUUGUCAACUUUUUUGCUCUGCUACUGAAGACUUUUAGAAAAUUGAAGAUUAGAUUAAACCAGAUGAAAACCAAAUUACAUUAGUGAAAUCAAAGUUAUGAGACCGUUUUUUUCCCCUAAUUUACGGGCUUAAAUUGUCUUUCAGUGGUGGUAUAGACUUGGGUCUUCUAAUUGUAUCCAGCUAGAUUUUUUUUCGAUUUGGUUAAGAAUACUAUUUUUACAUUUUAAUAGGCUAAUAAAGAGGUUUGGCCCAUUUGCGUACGUGUUAAUUAUAUAAAGUUUAUUGUUGGCUGAAUUAACAAACCGACCUUAGCUCAGUUGGUAGAGCGGAAGACUGUAGUGGGUUAUCCCAAAGAAAUCUUUAGGUCGCUGGUUCGAUUCCGGCAGGUCGGAUAUUCUUUUUGCUAUCUCCUUGUUAUAUCUAUGGGACCCACAUCUACAUUGCUAACUCGCGUGCUUAACCGUUGAUUAUCCCAUACGCUAUUUUCGCGUAACAGAAGUCAAUACUCUCCGGAAAAAUUCCAAAAUUAGCCUCGAUCAUGUUCAGAAGAUCCUUCUAAUACUAUCUUGCCACGUGUACACCUUCUCCUUCCUCGUAUACAGUCUCUAAAAAAAGAAAAAAUCACAGUUUGAGAAGAAAAAAAAACGAAAAUGGAGAAACGAACUUUCCUCUCCCUCCUCUUGCAUUUCGUCGUCUUCAUCGCUUGUACCUAUCCGUCUUCCUCUAUCCUCUUGAACGAUCGGAGCUUCGAGAUAUCGAACUUGCCUUCAUCGCGCGCGGAGAAGCUGAUCCGCGAGCUUAACCUUUUCCCGAAGCUCGACGUGAACGUGAUCGAUGUCGGUGAUUCGCCUCUCGCUUCCUCGGAGGAGGUGCCUUCGAUUGUCGAACGGAGCUUCAGAUUCCCGAAUAUUGUAUCCCAUAGCGACGACGGCGCUUCCGUCGAGGAUUUAGGUCAUCGUGCUGGCUAUUACAAGCUUCCGAAAUCUCAAGGCGCAAGGUUCAUUGUUGCUCAUGUGUAUCUUGAAGCUUACUCACACCGGAUCGUUUGUGGAAUUAGUAUCUGAUUUGUUAUGCUUCAUUGAGAAUCUGCAGCUAGGUUGCAUGUUUAUGUUGAUCUUGAACAUUUUUGCUAGUACGGAUUUGUAUCUUGGAGCUUAAUCGUACUGAUUCGUGUACAUUUGUGGAUUUAGUAUCUGAUUUGUUAUGCUUCAUCCAUAAUUUGCAGCUAAUUUUUUUGUGUGUUUAUGUCUGGUAAAAUAAAUUCUCAAUUAAAUGUUUUGUUCACUUGUAUGUUUGGUGGUGUUUAGGAUGUUCUACUUCUUCUUUGAGUCGCGCAAGAAGAAGAAGGAUGCUCCUGUUGUGAUUUGGUUGACCGGAGGGCCUGGAUGUAGCAGUGAACUGGCUAUGUUCUAUGAGAACGGCCCUUUCAAGAUCGAUAAGAACAUGUCUCUUGUUUGGAAUGAGUAUGGAUGGGAUCAGGUAUUUAUGAUCCUUAUAAACUAGCUCCCCAAUUCUUAUUAGCUUUUUUGAUCAUGAGAGUUGAUUGAGAGUUGAUGUUGCAGGUUUCCAAUCUCCUGUAUGUUGACCAGCCUGUUGGAACUGGCUUCAGCUACACCACAGACAAAAGUGACAUCCGUCAUGACGAAAAGGGUGUUAGCGAUGAUCUGUAUGAUUUUCUGCAGGUCUGGCCUUGUGAAUACAGAAACUUGCUUCCAAGCUUUGACUUGGAUAAAAAUAUCUUUUUAGAUACUGAUUACGUUUCCUCAUGUUACCUCAGGCUUUCUUUGCGGAGCACCCUAAGCUGACAGACAACGACUUUUACAUAACUGGAGAGUCAUAUGCUGGGCAUUACAUUCCGGCUUUUGCUGCCCGAGUCCAUAAAGGAAACAAGGCUAAGGAGGGGCUUCAUAUUAACCUUAAGGCAUGUGAUUUUUUUCUCUUUCUUACGUUUUUAAUGGAAGGCUGGUAUUCACAAGUAGAAUCUUGCAGGGAUUCGCCAUUGGAAAUGGGCUUACAAAUCCUGCACUCCAGUACCCAGCUUAUCCUGACUAUGCUUUGGAAAUGGGUUUAAUUACGCAAUCAGAGCAUGAUCGUUUAAAAAAGAUUGUCCCACUCUGUGAACUAUCAAUUAAGCUUUGCGGUACUUCCCCUAAUUUCUCUAUCAAGUUAUGUCUAUAAAAUGCUCCAUGCCUCCAUGUGUUGUAACCUUUAAUGGAUACUGAAUCCAUGUUUUUUUUUUUCAGGAACUGAUGGAACAGUUUCUUGCUUGGCAUCAUAUCUUGUUUGCAACACGUUGUUCAGUGGUGUAAUAAAUCAUGCUGGUGGAGUAAAUGUAAGUCCAAAACAACUGUUUAAUUUUUAUUAUUAAUUGGCCUUUCAUAUAAUAUUAUUUCUGGCAACAUCAUGUGAAUUUUCUUUUCCUUCAAAAAUGUGACUUCCAUCUAUCCACAAGAGAAACCAUCACUUAUAGAAUGCAAUGGUGUUUAUUAUUUCUGCAUUUAAAGUAGGGAGAACUGAAGAGUAAUAUGGUAUUUGUUGUGUAGUAUUACGACAUCAGGAAGAAGUGCGAGGGGAGUUUGUGCUAUGACUUCUCAGACAUGGAGAAAUUCUUGAAUCUGCAAUCCGUGAGAAAGUCGCUUGGUGUUGGGGACAUAGAGUUUGUCUCGUGUAGUACUAGUGUCUAUCAGGCAAUGCUACAGGAUUGGAUGAGGAAUCUCGAGGUUGGUAUUCCCACCCUCUUGGAAGAUGGAAUCAACCUUCUUGUGUAUGCUGGAGAGUAUGAUCUCAUCUGCAACUGGCUCGGUAAGUUCCAAAAGCAUAACAUAAUCAAAUCCAGACUAAAUAAUGAUAUAGACGGAAUAUAGUUGUGAACCAAACUAGAUUAACUUAACUAGUAAAAAAUACAAUUGUUAAUCUGUGUUUGGUAGUAGAGUAAUAUGCAAAACAUGAUAUACUUGAAUUGGAGCAGGUAACUCGAGGUGGGUGAAUGCAAUGGAGUGGUCAGGACAAGAGAACUUUAAGGCGACUAAUGAAGUUCCCUUUGUGGUUGAUGGUAAAGAAGCAGGGAAGUUAAAGAGUUAUGGACAACUUAGUUUCCUCAAGGUCAGGCUUUUCUUACAUAAAAUCAGUCUUUCCAUAGUUCUAUAGACUAUAGUAACAAGAAAGAGUUUGAUGACAACAGGUGCACGAUGCGGGACACAUGGUUCCAAUGGACCAGCCAGAAGCUGCGUUGAAAAUGUUGAAGAGAUGGAUGGAGAAUUCGCUUAGUGGAGGAGAUGAUGAUGAUGUGGCGACUACUAUUACAGAAGGAGAUGAUCUGGUUGCUCAGAUGUGAUCUCAUCUUCUUUCCAAUUGCAGGAAAACAUAAAUAGCAGCAAACAUUGUGGACUGUGUUGUGUACACGCUUGAAAGUUUACUUCUUUAAUUUGAUCUCAAAAGAUAAUUAUAUGUAGGGGUAGUAACAAGUUGAUAUGCCUUGAUGAACAAUAAUAUAAUCUUCAAAUUAAGAACUGGACAGAGUUGCCUUUGUCUAGUGAUCCAGACCAUCCUGAGUAUUCAUCAACCUCUCUCUGAUUCGAGCUCUUUCAAUAUUCAUCAGCCUCCUUCCUCUUCUCGUCUUCUUCCUCCGCCUCUCCCCAGCUUCAUUGUCCACCACCGAAGCCCAAUUCUCCUCCUCCUCCUUCCGCCAUCCCCGUUUGUUCGGCGGAGGUGGUCUCUCCCCGAAGGAGGUAAGGGUGGUGCUGCGAUGGAGGAGUAACGGUAGUAGAAAGUGUCGACCUCUCCAUCGUCGCUAUGGUGAAUCUUCUUAUUUCUUCUUCUUAUUCGUCUGCACCAUCUCCACUGCCUUGCUUUCGUAUUCGAAUUUGAAUUUAAACGACGUCGUUUUAAAGGUUGUAACUGUAGUGGUGGUGGUGAACAUGUUAUUGUCGUCCAAUUAAAAAAAAAAAACGUUAAGUCUAAUUUUUUGUUUGAAGAACUAUUUUCCCACAAUAAAAUUUUGGAGAAUUAGAACUUGGAACGGGAGAAGAACGAGUUUAGAUUUGAUCCCUCCAUAGCUCGAGAUUUUGAUUAACUUCUUCGCCAUCGGAGACGCACUGAUCAGAUUCAAAGGAGGAUUCGCAUCCCAGGUUAGAUUCGCAGCUGAAAACUUUUUCUCUCUAGAUCCACUUCGUGUUUGAUUGCUAUUCUCGAUCUCUGUUUACGCCAAUGUUUACGUAUCCGUUAGAUCUUUCGUUGAACGAGUGAUGAUGACUGAAUGUUUUACAUUGUCCUCUCCUCACUUGAAUCAUGUAUCAUCCGUUCGCUCCAUUAGCUUCUUUUUGAAAUUGAGCUACGUAGCAUCGUCAUUCAUCGUGGAAAUUCUGUUAUCAACGUCCUCUCUAGCUCAUGUAUGUGUUGGUUUUCAACUUUUGAUUUCAGAUACAGAGUGUUUGAUUGGAAUGUGCUGAGGAAUAGUCCACCAGCAUGGGGAUCUUCGACGGUUUGCCUGUUCCCUCAGAUAAAACUGUAAGUCCACUUUCUUCACUCCUAGCUAUAACCUUAUGGUCGCCGUUAAUAGAAGGAGUGUGUUCUUUUAUCCCCUUAGGCAUUUAUAGGGACACAGAGUAUGUUUUGGAGUACAUGUGUGGCUGUGUGUGUGUGUCUAAGUGAUUAUGGUUAUUGCAGUACCUUAGGGAUGAGCUGGCACGAAUAGAUGAGAGCUGGGCUGUUGCACGCUUCGACUCUUUGCCACAUGUGGUCCAUAUCCUCACCUCAAAAGACCGUGAGACUGACGUUCUUUUACUAAAGGAACAAAGUGAUGUUGUCGAGGAGGUUGUGGAUGAAGUUGUGCAUGCUUAUCACGGUGGUUUCAACAAGGCCAUUCAAAACUACUCACAGGUUGGUUCCUUUUAUCUGACCCCUCUUCCUUUUUUUAUUGGAGAGAGCCUUUUUUACCUUAGGCUUAUUGCGUGUUUGAUUUACUGAAUUAUGCCUGCUUCUAUGAUUUAUAAAUUUGGACUUUUUUCUAGUAAAAGUUCAUUCGUGAAGUAACUUAGAUGUUGAUUAUGUCUUCUUUUGUCCUGCUUUCAUUGAAUUUCUCAACAGAUCUUGCGAUUGUUCAGUGAGUCCACUGAAAAAUUAGGCGACUUGAAGCAUGAUUUGGCAGACGCAAAGAGGAGCUUGGGUACACGCAAUAAACAGUUGCACCAGCUGUGGUACCGUUCUGUAACAUUGCGGCACAUCAUCGCACUUUUGGAUCAAAUUGAGGGCAUUGCUAAGGUUGGUUAGAUUAGCAGUAACAUUUCAUUGUUGAUUUUUUUGGACAGUGCUUGCUAUGUAUUUGCGCUGCUCUGAAGUUUGAUUCGUCACUCCUGACAGCACUCAGUAUUUAUGAUGAUGUUUUUGUUGACAUGUUUUCGUUUUCCAAUAUUUAUACUUACUUUCUUUUACUUUGUGCUAUUUAGAAGAAACUUUUUUUAUGGUAGCUCUGCCUUUUGAACAUUGAACAGGUUCCAUCUCGUAUUGAGAAGCUCAUUGCUGAUAAGCAGUUUUACGCUGCUAUUCAAGUGUAUCUUCAGUCGUCUCUGAUGCUUGAGCGUGAGGGGCUUCAAACGGUAGUUUCCUAACUGCCAAUCUUAACAAUUCUGAAAAAGAAAUCUCAUGGGAACAUUUUUGGGUCUUCCCAUUCAGUUGUCAAUUUGGUCUCUAGGACUGUUUUGUUAUUUAUCCGUUGAAGGGAUCUGGUAUCAUCUAAUUUCCAUCGGGGACUUCUGAUUAUUUUUGUUCGAGAUACAUACUGUUGACUUGGAUAUUGUACUCAUAUAUACUGGUCUGGUACGUUGACUUAGGUUGGUGCUCUUCAAGAUGUCAGAUCUGAGCUAACUAAGCUGCGCGGAGCCCUUUUCUUUAAAAUUCUAGACGAUUUGCAUGCACAUCUAUACAACAGAGGUGAAUACAGGUAGGUUUCUUUUCAGUGGCCUGCUUGUUUGAUAGUUUACCUCGUCAAUUCUGUUAUUGCACAAUCUUCUGUUCUUGACCUUGUAUAUGCUGCAGUUCAGUUGCGUCAAGCAUAUACGAAAGAGAUGAUGAUGUACCAACAACAACAGCUGUUGCAGCUAGUCGAAUGAGCUCACAACCACUGUCUCGUAGAACACGGACACUGAAAGGUGAUAGUCAGUUUGUUGUUAGAGGGCUCACAAAUGGUUCACAUAGAACGUCGUCUAUUGAGGAAGGGUAUGAAGCAACCUUUCCCUUCAGUUGUUUCUGUAUGGGAUAUUAGGAAUGCUUUUUGUGUGUAAUGAUUUACCUUAUUCGGAGUGCUCCUUGUUCAGUAAUUGUCAGUUUAGUUUCGAUUCUCCAUUGAGGCUCUUGGAGCUUCAUUUUUAAUAUAGAUAUUAGCAUACUUGCAUCAUUUAUAUAGUCAUUAUGUGGAAGUUGUCAUCAAUAUACUUCAUUAAAAUUUUCGUCAAUAAAAGAGAGUAUGGUGUAAAUUGAUUACGGCAGAAGUGGCUUUGUCAACCUAAGGUUGUUCUGCUUCUAUAAAAUUAUUUUGCUUGUUUUGCAGUUCCUCUACUUCGCUAAUGUGUGUUUCUUUAAUUACAUUGCGUUUCUUAGUUCAUCAUUUGAUGGACAUGAUGAGGAGGACUCUGUCGAACAUGAUGAAGCUACUGAUAGUAAACUGCUUUCUCACCAACUUACGCCAUGGCUUUCUGAUUCCACGCCUGACGAGUUUAUUGUACGUGCUUGUUACACUUAUACAACUAUCUUUUGCCCAAUUUUUUCAGUGCUGUGACACUGCCUUUUCUUCUGUUUCAGGAAGCAGUAAGAAAGAGUGAUGAUCCACUUCAUGUGAAGUAUCUACAGACCCUUGUUCAGUGUCUCUGCAUGCUUGGAAAAGUUGCAGCUGCUGGUGCUAUCAUAUGGUUCGCUUUUAAAUAUUUUCACUUUUCUAAAUGGUCUUAAAAAUGCUAGGAUUUCUGUCUUGUAGCUAGAUAUAGUUAUAGAAAAUUCACUCCUUUGGUAUUAGUUUUAGAUCGUUAAAAUUUGCUAGUUUUCCAUUCAAAAACGUCACUUGGUGGAAAUCAGUACAUUCCAUUAUAGAAAUCGUCAAACAUUUUUAGUGAUGUUUUUGUGUCCUCAUGCAGCCAAAAACUUCGACCCACAAUACAUGAGAUCAUUAUAUCCAAGAUUAAAGCCCAUAUGGAGACUAGAAAUUUGUCAAAGUCCGCCUGUAGUCAGGGUGAUCAAACGGUAGCUGCGGGAUUGCAUUUUAUAAAAGGACAACCAGAGGCCUACAGACUAUCAAAAGAGAAACCUCAAAACAGGAUAUCAAAUUCAGGAACUCACCUGGCUGUGAGCCCUGUUUCGCCUCUUAUGGUUCCUGGAGGGAAGGCGCAAGCUGCUGCAAAAGACCUUCUUGACUCAAUUUUAGAUACUAUUGUCAAGAUAUUUGGUGAGCAAUUCAACUGUAAACGCCUCUCAAUAUUUUUUGUUUCUCUGGUGAAAGCUCAAACUUUCUCUUACUAUUCUACAGAAAAUCAUGUUGUUAUUGGAGAGCUUUUGGAGUUGAAGGCUUCGCAACAUGACAUUAACACACCGAAGUCAUUGCCUACGAAUGUGAACUGGAAUACCGAUUCUGAAGCAUCCCAAGUUACUGGAGGCUACACUAUCAGUUAUCCCUUAACAGUCUUACAGGUCCGCCUAUUGUUUCCAAAAUAUAUAAUACGCCGUGAAGCCAAAUGUUUAUAAAUCUACAUUGAUCUAAUGGUUUCUUAUACAUAAGCUUAUUGAAAUUUUACGUGUUAAUGGUGAAGAGUGAAUGCCAGCAACUCAUUUGUGAGAUUCUACGAGCAACUCCAGAAGCUGCUUCAGCAGAUGCUGUGGCACAAACUGCUAAAGUUGCAAAGAAGGCUUCCAAAAAAGACAAAAGGCAAGUAACCUUUAACGUUGGCAGUUCAUACAUUUACUGAGAUGGCUUUCUCAUUAUCAUUUAGAUACAUAGACAACGAAACAUGUCCCAAGAAUUAGACAUUUAAGAUUUUUUAAAGAUAAACCUCAUUUCCAUGUAGAGGUAUGUUUUCAUUCGGCUGGGAAUCACAAUAUAUGGUCAUCGACAAUAUAGGGAGGAUAUUAGAGCAGAGAUUUAUUCUGAUGAUCUAAUAAGCAGGUUUUACGAAACCCAAGUCUAGGAAUUUUUCAUUUAGGUUCUUCUCAGAGCGCUAGUAAAGUGGAGCGCUGAAGAGUUUGACACAAAUUUGAAUGUAAAAUUCUCUAGUUUGGUUAGUAGUAUUGAUGCUUGAUUGAUGUAGGACUGCAGGAAUGCACCUGAAGAUGGGCUAACAUUCACCUUUUGAUGUAGGACUGCAUGAAUGCACCUGAAGAUGGGCUAACAUUCACCUUUCGGUUUACAGAUGCAACUGUAUCGAUUUCUAAUCAGGGUACUAAUCAACUAUCCUGUCUGUUCUUAUGUUAUGAUGCCUUGGGUAGACUUAAUGACGUGUGUUGCUGGCAGGAGCUGAUCUAAUUCGCCAAGGCUGGGGAAAGAAGGCUCCAAAUUCAUCACAGGAAGGUUAUGGUUCUGCAGCAGUAUUGCCUGAACAGGGAAUAUAUCUAGCUGCAUCUAUAUACCGACCUGUCCUUCAGGUUUUGAUUCUGGUUCAUAAGCUUUUUCAUUCAAUGGAAACUGUAUUUCAGUAGACCUAUAAUCUUUCGUGUCUUGCAGUUUACAGAUAAAAUCACUUCAAUGUUGCCCAAAAAGCAUUCCCAGCUUGUGUAAGUUCAAAAUUUCCGCUUGCCAGUGCAGGCUGUCAUUCUGGCAAUGCUGAACACCUUGCUCACCGUCCAAAAUGAAAGUUGAAAUUAUUGUUUAGUUAAGUGCUGAAAAGUUACCAGAAUUUUCACCAUCGAGUUUUCGGUAUUUGAUACAGGAUUGAUGGGUUGCUUACAUUCACUGAGAACUUUGUGAAGGACCACCUGUUACCUACAAUGUUUGUGGACUAUAGGAAAGGCGUACAGCAAGCUAUAUCAAGUUAGUUCCAUACACUAUAGAGAUCUGAUCAUAGCGUUUUUGUUGCUAUUUUAGGGUAAUUUUCUUCUAACAGUACAUAGAAAUUGCAUUGUGAAAGGAGAGCUGCUAAUUUGGUGUCAAACACUUGGACUCUUACCAUCGCAUGGUGGUAGUAGAAGCAUUUGCUUACAAAAAUAACUGAUACAGUCUGCCUAUAUAGGGUAUGGCAAAAAGUUGAGGCGUCUUUGAGAAAUGCUGCACCUAUUUUGAAAGAUCACCCGGCAAGAAAGUUUUUAUACGAAUAGUUGCAUUUUCACUAGUUUAUGAAUAAAAUGAAAAUGGAGGGAACCAGUUGUGUCAGUGUGUAUAUUUUCAUAUAUUCAAGGUCGAAAAAUCAUUUUGCAGGUGCCGCCGCAUUUAGACCACGUGCACAUACAACUACUUACACUCCAACCGUAGAAAAGGGUCGUCCUAUCUUACAAGGACUUUUGGCAAUAGAUCUCCUUGCAAAAGAGGUAAGUUGUCUAUGCUUUUAAACUGGAAGCUAAACUUUGUUGCUUUUCACAUAUUUGAUCUGCCUUAAAAGGAAUGGAUGGUUACUUCCAGUUCAUCAUUUAGUCCAUUUUUCGUGUCCUCAGCUUCAUGGUAUUUUUGUUUUAUGAGCUAACUUUUCUUCAACCUUUUUCUAGGUUCUUGGUUGGGCUCAAGCCAUGCCUAAAUUUUCUACUGACCUUGUGAAGUAUGUUCAGACAUUUCUUGAGAGAACAUUUGAGAGAUGUCGAACAUCAUACAUGGAGGUAUGAAUCUUCACCGUUUCUCAUUUGUUUUCCUCUUCCUCUGACUAUUAUAAUCUAUUUAUAUGUCUGACAUCUGGUUUAGGGUUUUGCACCAUUAGAACAAAUCAUAGACUAAAAAGUAGGCUUGUAAGCACGAUAUGAUUUUUAAAACUCAGUUGGAGGUGUAUAAAUUAGAUUAAUAUGAUGGUGUCUUUAGAGUCUACAAUGUCAUGAACAUCGUGAAGCUAGCUAGAGUUCAGUUUGAGCUACGUGAAAACUGGCCUACUUGAUGAAGUAACUAUAGUAUUAUGUUUUAGGCUUUUGGCAGUGUCUUGCGUAGCCUACAGUGUAAAUGUAGGUUAUUAAGCAGCUUGUGAGAAGCCAUGUAGCAGAACUUGACAUUAAAUGCUUCAAGAAAUAAUCCUGAGAAAGUUUGAUUCAAAGAGAAAGGUGGUAGAGUAUGGUUUAGUCAAUCUUAAAUGCGCCUUUAUGUCCAUCUUUGAUAAAAAUUAGCAUUUCUCUUCACCAUUGUUUGCCUCAAGUGUCCCUAAAUCUAAAGUGAUGUAUCUCUUCCAUUGCGCACAAUUUUCUGAGCAUAAGUUUAAUUAUUUAUAUAUCAGGCUGUGCUUGAGAAGCUCAGUUACAGGCUUAUUGGGAGGCAUGAUAUUGAGAAAUUGAUGCGACUUGAUCCGGCGAGUGCUUGUUUGCCAGCUCUACUUGGCCAUUCUGUUUCUCACUCUGAGGCUGUUGGCUCCGACGUAGAACUCUGUGAACUAUUCUUAAGUUUGCCGUCUAUCAAGCAGGUAAAUUUCAUGUGUUAUCUGAAACAUAUUUAGUAAGAAAUUUUCCAUUUGGUUUAAGAUUAUUUAAAUAAGUGUGUUUCUUACAGGAUAGUCUAAUUCGUGACGACAACAAACUGAUUUUGUUAGCCUCUCUUAGCGACUCUCUUGAAUACGUAGCAGACUCUAUUGAGAGGUGAGUUCGUUGGAUCAGAUUCUUUAUGCAUGCCGCUUGUCUUGUUCGUAUCUGUCAGUACAUCUUAGAUGUUAUCAGGACAAAAAAUGGGAAGUCCUACGAGGAUUUUAUAAAAGAGGAAUAAAAACGAUAAAGCGACUAAACUAGAUUGAUUGCUGUCUUUUCCAUCUCAAGUUUAAAGAAACUUGCAUAGUUGGAUAUGUCUUCCUUCUCUAAGUAGCAAGCAAAUAAAAACUUAUUCUGAAGUCUUAAUUUCCCAAAAUCUUUAGGCUUGGACAAGCAGUUCCUCGUGCAGCAAGUCAAUCUGAAGAUAAUAGCAGGAAUCAAGCAACUUCUCCUAGGAACCUGGCAUCAUUUGCUGAUGAGUACAGAAAACUUGCGACUGAUUGCCUAAAGGUUCUACGUGUUGAGAUGCAAUUGGAAACAGUCUUUCAUCUUCAGGUAUGUGAUGGAUGUUUCCUUUGUUAAGAAGGUGCCAUGGCUAUGAUAAAUUCAGCAUGUGACAUGUAAAGCUUACGAAAUGCUAUGCUAUGGGUUGGGAUAGGAAAUGACGAAUCGAGAAUACUUGGAGGAUGAGGAUGCUGAAGAGCCCGACGACUUUGUGAUUUCUCUUACUUCACAGGUUAGUUAUAUCACUUUAAAAAGCCUUGUUUACUUUCAUAGUCAUGAGUCAUCAAAUAUUUGUAUCACUCUCUUCUGUUGAGAGAAUCUAGUUAACCAAAUGAUGAAGCCAUCUUAAUUUGUUUGUGAUGAAAUUACAUUCUUGUUUAGUGCACAAUCUUAUUUUGAAUUGGUUCUUUUCAACCUCUAUAUAUCUGCACCCAAGUGUUUAACACUUCCUCUUUUUUAUACAGAUAACACGUAGGGACGAGGGAAUGUCGCCUUUCAUCUCUGGUGAGAAGCGCAACUAUGUUUUUGGUGGCAUUUGUGGAAUUGCAGCGAAUGCGUCCAUUAAGGUACGCCUCUUCCUUUCAUAAGAUCUUUGGUACUUCUAAUUCAAAUGUCAAUAUUCCAUAUCACAGUUAUAUAUCUAACAUUUGAUCAUCAUCAUCUUCGAAACCAUUAAAAGUCUUUUAUUACGUAUUUUUGCUAGGCUUUGGCUGACAUGAGAUCGAUAAACCUUUUUGGAGUUCAGCAAAUUUGUCGGAACACUAUUGCAUUGGAACAGGUAAAGAUUAGUGUAUGUUUAGGUGUCGAGCUUAAUCAUUUCCAAUAGCAUUCACUUUCUACAUCUGUGUGUUAUUAUACAUGGCAGGCCAUGGCAGCUAUUCCAUAUGUUGAUGGUGAAAGCGUACAACAGAACCUAGAUCGUGUCCGUACUUACUUUGAACUACUAAACAUGCCAUUCGAGGUUAGUCAAAGAAACUAUCGUUUCCUCUUGGUUUUGUCCUUUGGCUUUUCUUAGCAUUCUUAUACUCAGAUGUUUGCCUGAUGUUCUACAGGCGUUGCUUACAUUCAUAGCGGAACAUGACCAAAUGUUUACACCCACAGAGUCUGCUUCUUAACUUUAUUUCCUUUUAAGCUUCUCACAUUGUGGCUAAUACAGUUUCUGACUUAUUGAAAUAAAAACUAUAUGGGCUUUGCAGGUAUUCUAAUCUUCUAAAGGUGAAUGUUCCUGGAAGAGAUACUCCUACAGAUGCUCAAUCUCGCCUUUCGGAAAUUCUUUCUCACUAAUACCAACUCCUCGAGCCAUUGUGGAUUACCACCGUGGAUAUAAAGACAAAGCUUCUCCAGCAGCCAUUAUGUUUCAUUAUUUUCAUAAGCUGCAGGAAAAAAUCACAAUGGCAAGAAACAUUGGAAUGUACAUCGUCUUGGUUCUUAUGCCGCGAUACUAGUUCGGUUCCAUUAAUUAUUUUGUUCACUUGUCUAGCUUCGUUUUGCCUUGUGGAAUACGGAACCAAGACCUUGCUUUGAUUUUGUCUAAAUUCUUUGGUAAAGAGAUUUCGUUUGUAUAAAACUUUCAAAGGUGAGGUCAUUUUAUCUUCCAAGUGAAAAACAAAGACUGAAAGUGAAAUUUACUCACUCUCAUUUGUGAUUGUAUUCUCGUAGACAGCAUGAAAUAAAUUGCUAUUGUCUAAAUAUUAUCAGAGUCUACUAGAAAAUAUAGCUCUCUACGUUGAAUAUGAGAAAAGGUGUGAAAUUCACAAUUUACUCUGUUUUAUCUGCGACCGACCAGAGACUGUUUCUGUCCUCCAUCGCAUCACAUCACAUCAAAGUUCUGUUUAAUCCAAUAAACAUUUGAGUAGUGGCAGUAUUAUUCCAUCCGUAUACCAUUUAUUCCUCAUCUCUAGUGGCUAGUACCCAAGAGCCACCAACAAUUGGGAAAUAGAAGAAAAUAAUAAAUUCAAAUAGAGUAGUUUUUAAAUUUUUCUCAGAUGCAGGCAGCUUCAGUUGUGUUUGCCAUCGUGAAACUGUGCGUUUUUGGAAGACUUGAAUGUCUGAAGAAACUCUUUAGCCUUCUGCAUCUCCUGCUUCUCCCUCGACUUGUCCCACUUGUGUUCACUCGCUAGAAUCUCCACCACACGCUGCAACGCCCUCGCCGCCGCGUCUGUGUCCAAGAACGCUAUUCUACAUCUCCUCGCUAUAAAAUCAACCGCUGACUCGCAGUACUCGUGCCUUGCACAGUACGCAACCUCUGCUUCAAGAAACGGAUGUCCAUGCGCCAACCGUUUCCCCAAACCCUCCUCCUACAUCAAAUAACCAAAAUCAUAAACCGGACCUAAACGUUAUGAAGAUAAAAGAACCGAACCUGAGCUAUGGUGGCGACUCGUUCAGCCAUCGAACCGUAUGCAUGAGACAAAUGCUUUGCAGCAGCUGUGUCCAUUGCUCCAGGAACCACUUUACCACCAUAUGUUUUCUUCAUGCGCACGUAUUGCUGCGCAAGAGCUGUGAAAGAAGAUGGUUCCCAUCCAUGAGAACCAAGAAGCUGUAGCUUCUGUGUUACGCAUCCAUUGGUUGGACUCAGCUUCCCUGAUUUGAUUGCUGCAUUAACCGCAUCUUCAGCCAUACUGAAACAAAUUUACAAAUCAAUGAGCAACAAUAACACAACUUUUUUUAAACCAUGCUUACCAUUUUUAAAGAUUUUUUUAAUUGUUUUUUUUCCAUAAGUUUGGAUACUUAUUAUGAGAUUUAUGGAGGACCCGCUCUGAGAUUUAUGGGGCUAUAAACAUUUUUUUAAGAAUUUUUUUAAUUUUUUUCCCAUAAUUUUGGAGGCCCUGCCUGCUAGUUUAAACAGCUCCCUCACCUUCGAUAAGUUGUCCAUUUUCCACCAGUGAUAGUGACCAGACCAGGAUGUUCCUCGAAGACAACGUGGUCUCUUGAGAUACUCUCUGUGCUCUUUGCAGUUGGAUCCAUAGCCAACGGACGUAUACCACUCCAAGCCGAGAGAACAUCAGUACGUCGAACCUAGUGAAACAUCAUAAUGUCAUGAUCCAUAAUUAAAUUGAUUAUUCAUUCAUCUCUGAGCUGAACUUGGACAUACCUUAAUGUUAAGAUAGUCACUUAUUGCAUCCAAUAUAAACUGAAUCUCAUCCUCAUGAGGUUCAGGAAGCGGAGUUAUUGACGUGUUAGAGUCUGUAGUCCCAGCUACCGUUCUUCCCAACCACGGUAACAUGAACACAACGCGACCAUCCUUAGUUUUAGGAACUAUCAAACCCAUCCCUUCUGGUGAAUAGUAAUCAGGCAGCACAAUGUGUACACCGCUGCUUGGACAUAUCAUAGGCUUUGUAUCUUCAUCAACCAUCUUCCUUAUGGAAUCACAGAACGGUCCAGCCGCAUUAACUACUACUCUCGCAUAGCUCUCAAACUCUUUGCCUGUCAAAACAAAAAAAGUUCUAAAAAUCAGUCUAGACGGCAUCUAGACAAAUACCUUCCUACUAUGCCAACAAUCGGACCUACACCAAACGAUUUUUCUUGUAAAUUGGCUUAGGUGUUCAAAAAAUCAGCCUAUGCACCCGCCUAAUUCAUAAUCUCCUAUAAACGCCUAAUUGCCGGUCUAGACGCCCGCCUAAUCAAUAAUCUCCUAUAAAAUACCUAAUUACCGCCUGCCUAUCAAUGAUUUUUUUUUUUAAUAUAUUUUACAUUGCGUCAAUCACAUCAAAAUCUCUUAUAAAACGCCUAAUUACUGCCUAUCCAUAUUUUUUUGAUGUUUUUACAUUGUCCAUCACAUUAAAAUCUCCUAUAAAACGCCUACCUAUCGAUUUUUUGUGAUAUUUUUACAUUGCGUCCAUCACAUUAACUGCAGAAGUUAUAUACUAAACUCAAUAAGUUGCAAGUUAUUGUACUACCUGUGAGAUUGUUACGAACCCUGGCACCAACUAUUCUCUUGGUAUCAUCAUCCGUAAUAAGCGAGACAACCUCAGCGUGAUUAAGAACCGCAGCACCAGCUAAAGAAGCAGUACAAGCCAACCCAACGUUCAGACGCGAAUCAUUCAUCUGCCCGUCGUAAUACACAACAGUCCCCCUCAAGCUCUUGUCCUUCCCUUUCCUCGCGAGAGUAGGGAAGAGCUCAGCAGACUCUUGCGCAGAGUAGUACCUAGACAGAUGCAACAACCGCGGUCCCGCCACCAAGUCGUACAUCUUCAGCCCCAUCCAGUAGUAGACCACUUCGAACCAGUCGAAACAAGGUGUCAUACACGGGAGCGCGUGGCAGAGAUGGGGCGCGUUCUCGAUGAGCUGUUUACGCUCCUCGAGCGCGUGGAAGACAAGCUUUAGCUGUCCGUAGUCGAGAUUGAACACAGCUUUCUCCAAGUAACGAACUCCUAAUCAAAUAAAUAUUUAGUUAUAAAAAAUAAGAACAAGAUUAAAUGAAAAUAAUAUUCCCUCUGUUCAUAAAAUAUCUAUAUUCUAGUUUUUUCACACAUUUUAAUAAAAUAUAUUAAAUUUGCAUAUUUUUUUGUGUCUAUUUUUUUUCCACAAUUUUAAGCCAAUAAAAAAAAUAAUUAGUGCAAUUAAGAUUUUUGAAGUUUGUAAUUAGUUAAUAAAACAUGCAUUGAAAAUGUAAAAAAUGAAUCUUUUAGAAACAAAAUUUUUCUUUAUAAUAUAUACUCCCUCUGUUUCAAUAUAGAUGAUGUUUUAGGUGAUUGUUUUUGUUUCACAAUAGAUGAUGUUUUCACAUAUCUAGGUAACUUUAACUUUAUCAAAAACUGUGUAGCCAAUUGUGUUUUUAUUAUUUUUGUUUAUAAUUAAAUAAAUUAGUUUAAAAUUAUAUUUUAAUGAUUUUAUGUUUAGAAAAGAUAAUUUUUUAAUAUGUGUGCAAAGUACUAAAACUUCAUCUAUUAUGAAACGGAGGGAGUAUCUUUAAGGAACGGGAAGAGGAGUAUUUAUUAAUCGAGUUAUUAGAAUUAUGUACACAAACUAAAUAUAAAAUCAUUUAAUUAAAAUGUAGAGUUACUUAUCUAACCAACCAUUAUCUAACUAACCAAUAGAAAAACAAUCUAUAAAAUAUAAAAAAUUAAUAGAUGAUCUUACUUACCUCCAUGGAUUAGCUUGGUUGAACGUGAAGACGUCCCCGAGGAGAAAUCCUCGCGCUCCACGAGACCUACGCGGAGUCCACGUGUCGCAGCGUCGAGAGCCACUCCAGAGCCGGUGGCUCCACCGCCAAUCACGAGGACGUCGAGCGGAUUAGAAGAGGUGGCUUUGAUGAGAGCAGACUCUUGAGCGGAUCGAGACGGCACGGAGGCGGAGGGAUCGCCGAGAGUACGAUUCAACGAAUCUAGAACCGGACCGCCGCCGGCUCUGUCGCUGGAGGCAACGGAGGGGGAGAGGUAGACGGCGCCGCCGGAUGCAGCGGCGAUUACGGCGGCGGAGACGGCUAAACGGCGGACGGAAGAGACUGACAUGGAAGAUCGUGGAGGGAAUGGAUUGCAUUGGGAAGCGAAGAAGAUUAUGAAUGAAAAAUCCACUGUAAUAACAAAUUAUCCUUAAAUUACGUUUUUCACCCUUUCGGAUAAAUGUGCGGUGAGUUGAUGAAGGGUGUUUUCGUCAUUUAGUUAGAUAGAAAUCCGAGUUCUAAGGAACAGUUUGUUGACUUUUUACUUAACAAUGUUUUAAGAAAUGGUUUGUGUUAAUGGUCGAAUCAUAUUUACGUUGUUAGUUAAUACUACUACUACUCGGUAUUACCUGAAAGAUACUAACGACAUGUUUGGUCUGAACAUUCUGUUUUUUUUUUUAACCACAAAAAAUUUAUUAAUUAAAUUGUAAAAAGUGAAUACAAAUACUGAAUCAACCAAACGGGAGGAGGAUCAAAGAAUAUGUAUGAAAUAUUAUGAUCAUUAGCUUCUUUUGUCUGAACAUUUUGUUUUUUUUUUUCUAAAAGAAAAUUAAGCGAAUAACACUUUCUGAUUAAUAUAUAAAGGAUUUUUAAUUAUUAACUAGUCUUAACUUGUGAGUCUACAAUAACAAAUACUCAUUUUGUUUUUUAAUAUAAAUCGUUUUAAAAUUAUGCACAUAGAUUAAAAAAAAUCAUUAAAUUUUUAUAUUUUCUAAACAAAAACAUCACUAAUUAUUUAUCUAAGCAUAAAUUAAUCAAUAAUAAAAUAGAAGGUAAAUUAUUAUUGAUCAUAUAAUAUUAAAUAUUAAUAAAUUUUACAUAAAAAUCUGAAAACGUCAUAUAAUUUAGAACAUAAAAAAUUUUCUAAAACAACUUAUAUUAUAUUAAAAAACGGAGGAAGUAAUAAUCAUGAAGGAUCGGUACAUUUAUUAGGGUCUGGACUUGGUCUUCCUCUAGGGAGGAAUGGUGUUCAACCACAGUAAAACACUGAGAACAAGACUUGUGGAAUAUGCCAAUAUCUAUAGUGGUUUGAGUUUUCGAAGAGAAAUGCUUCCAUGAUCAAAUUUUUUAUGUUUUUCAUAUUCCUAUCGUUCAAAUUUAAUCUGUUGGGUCAGCUUAAGGGACAAAAGAAAAAUAGAGAUUGUGAAAGCAAUGAACAUGACUGGUCACAAGAUUCCAUUAACAAACACAAAAGCAGGAGGAGGACACACACAUAACAAUUGUCUCAACUUAAAACACUGCUUAAGUAGUUCAACUUAAUAAUGUCUCCCAAAAUACUAAAACAGUGAAAUGAAAACGUAGUAGAUAAGAGUGAUAAUCAACUCAAUUGUGGUUGUUGCGAGGAGGUGGUGAGACACGGACUUUGAGAACACCAAACUCUGCAUCCCAAGCGAUGUCGUGGCUCAGAAGCGGAAUCCCAAAGGAGCAACACUGACGAUUGCUGAUGGCUCCAAGGAAGAUACGGCAACUCUCGUCAUGCUCAUACACCUCCUUGUUCUCACCGUAGAACUUGAUCUCGUUCUGGUUGGGAAUCACGAAGACGUCGUCGCUGCAGACACCAGGCAUGUCCACCGAGAAGCGAAAACAUCCAUCAGAUGUUCGGUUGGUAGCCAACGUGUCCUUGCGACCUUUCACCACAUAGGGAUGUUCCUCCACUUCAACCAUGACAAGUGAGUUCACAUCGUAUCUCCCAGAUUUGCCUAUCAAAACGAAGAGUAGUAUAUAAAGAAGCAUUAACGGUUUAGAUUGGUUAUGUUGUUAAUUCAUUUCCGGUUUAGAACCGUUGAUUCGGUUUACUUUGUUCUAUAAAAGUCAAACCUUGUAACUGAAUCUGUAACCAAAAAUGAAUGAAGAUUACUUUUUCAUUCGAUCAUUCUCAGAAUAGUAAUAGUAUUACACUAAUGGAGGCAAAUUAAAAGGUGUGGUAUUGAAGGAGAUUCGAACCUGCGUUAGGAGGGAGAAAGUGAGUACACUUGUUGUUGUUGUUGUCAUGAUGGUCUUUGACUUUGACCCUAGUGAGAAUCAUCCUCAAGACUCCAUCUUUCAUCUUGGCAUCGACGCCGGUGAUCUCGCAGCAGUCGCAGCCCAUACCGGCGGUUCCAGAGUACUCGCGAACGUCGUGGGCGUUGUCUCCGUCGCCGAGAACUUCCUCGCCGGAGAAAAAGACAACCUUUUGUCUCACGGCGUCGACUCUGUGGCGGAUGGCGUCGUCAGGAACGCCGGGGAGGUCGACGCGGACGUAGAGGUCGUCGUUGGGGAGGAUCUUGGUUUCCAUGAAACCCUUUGGACCGUACCUCUGGUAAGGGUUGUUGGUCGCGUGCAACCUCCCUGAGAGUCAAAAAAACAAACAAGAGAUUUUUAAAGCUCUCAGUAAAGUAGGAAACUUUGUUAACAAGUUUCGUGUUCAGUAGAGCCAAAGAAGAGAGUAAAGAUUGAAACUUUACUUUCCCCGAGGAUCAAAAAGAUGCGACGUUUCAUUUGUAGAACAAAUGUAAUAAAGGAGACGAAGAGAUUAGGAGAAAGAAAGAAAGAGUGAGACAGACCAGGGAUGUGGGGAAUCCUCGACAAGUCAAUGCAUGCUGCCAUCUCUCUCUCUUCUUCUUCUUCUUUCUCUGUAUUUACUCUCUCUGAAAAUGGAUUAUGAUUUUGUUGUUUGAUAUAGGAGGGGGGCUCUUUGACUGGUCAUCGCUUGCUUAAUGUUACCUUUUUAAACAUUUUAACCACUGUUAAAAUAAUUGCUUACCGUGGUAAGAACCCGGUACGAUAGAGCUGUCCAGUGUCGUCUCUUUUUACUGCCUACAGCUCAACCUUCGGUGUCUUUUUGAAUGCGACAAAAUAGAGAAAUGAGGGAAACUCGUCUCUCUCUCUCUCGCUUUAUUUCCAACUUUUUACACAAGUUACAUUAAUGCAUAUGCAAGACGUCAAUGAUUCCAUUCUCUGAGGUUAAAACAGAGCUGUCAAACUUCUUUUUUUUUACUAAUUUUCACAUAAGACAAACACAGAAGUUAACAAUGCAAUGCAACGUCUCUUUUCCUUGUUUUUGAAUCAAACGUUUUUAGAUGUUUAUCCCCCCACAUGUUUCCAAGUUCAUUUUUAUGGCUAAUUAGAGUGUCAUAAACAUUGUUCUAUAAAUAUUUUCUUCUAAGCAUAACUAUUGUAAAUAUCUUGAAGCUUUUGGUCCCCAAGAAUUGCAAUAUUUAUUCCAAAACUAUGUAAUGUAAGUUGUAGUAAACAACACUACUAUCUCAAUACAACUGAACUUUGCUUCUUCUUCUUCUCAUUUCCAAAUGAU